UAGGGAAUCUUCGGCAAUGGGGGCAACCCUGACCGAGCAACGCCGCGUGAGUGAAGAAGGUUUUCGGAUCGUAAAGCUCUGUUGUAAGAGAAGAACGUGUGUGAGAGUGGAAAGUUCACACAGUGACGGUAACUUACCAGAAAGGGACGGCUAACUACGUGCCAGCAGCCGCGGUAAUACGUAGGUCCCGAGCGUUGUCCGGAUUUAUUGGGCGUAAAGCGAGCGCAGGCGGUUUAAUAAGUCUGAAGUUAAAGGCAGUGGCUUAACCAUUGUUCGCUUUGGAAACUGUUAAACUUGAGUGCAGAAGGGGAGAGUGGAAUUCCAUGUGUAGCGGUGAAAUGCGUAGAUAUAUGGAGGAACACCGGUGGCGAAAGCGGCUCUCUGGUCUGUAACUGACGCUGAGGCUCGAAAGCGUGGUGAGCAAACAGG
This 429-nucleotide ribosomal RNA is filed under the name bacterium. RNAcentral's name for it is "partial 16S ribosomal RNA". It matches the Rfam family "Bacterial small subunit ribosomal RNA", at positions 355 to 776 of the family's 1533-position model. The record is from RNAcentral.